Molecule: ribosomal RNA, 445 nt
Filed under: uncultured bacterium
Lineage: Bacteria
Description: bacterial SSU rRNA
Rfam family: Bacterial small subunit ribosomal RNA
Source: RNAcentral
GUGAGGAAUAUUGCGCAAUGGAGGCAACUCUGACGCAGCCAUGCCGCGUGCAGGAAGAAGGCGCUACGCGUUGUAAACUGCUUUUAACCGGGAAGAAACCCCAGGACGUGUCCUGGGUUGACGGUACCGGAGGAAUAAGCACCGGCUAACUUCGUGCCAGCAGCCGCGGUAAUACGAAGGGUGCAAGCGUUAUCCGGAUUCAUUGGGUUUAAAGGGUGCGUAGGCGGAGCGUUAAGGCAGUGGUGAAAUCCUGCAGCUUAACUGUAGACUUGCCAUUGAUACUGGCGCUCUUGAGUGCGCUUGAAGUGGGCGGAAUGUGCCGUGUAGCGGUGAAAUGCUUAGAUAUGGCACAGAACACCAAUUGCGAAGGCAGCUCACUAAGGCGAUACUGACGCUGAGGCACGAAAGCGUGGGGAUCGAACAGGAUUAGAUACCCUGGUAGUCC